Molecule: ribosomal RNA, 482 nt
Filed under: uncultured bacterium
Lineage: Bacteria
Description: partial 16S ribosomal RNA
Rfam family: Bacterial small subunit ribosomal RNA
Source: RNAcentral
AUUGAACGCUGGCGGCAUGCUUUACACAUGCAAGUCGAACGGUAACAGGCCGCAAGGUGCUGACGAGUGGCGCACGGGUGAGUAAUGCAUCGGAACGUGCCCAGUCGUGGGGGAUAACUACUCGAAAGAGUAGCUAAUACCGCAUACGAUCUAUGGAUGAGAGCGGGGGACCGUAAGGCCUCGCGCGAUUGGAGCGGCCGAUGUCAGAUUAGGUAGUUGGUGGGGUAAAGGUUCACCAAGCCAACGAUCUGUAGCUGGUCUGAGAGGACGACCAGCCACACUGGGACUGAGACACGGCCCAGACUCCUACGGGAGGCAGCAGUGGGGAAUUUUGGACAAUGGGCGCAAGCCUGAUCCAGCAAUGCCGCGUGCAGGAAGAAGGCCUUCGGGUUGUAAACUGCUUUUGUACGGAACGAAACGGCUCUGGUUAAUACCCGGGGCUAAUGACGGUACCGGAAGAAUAAGCACCGGCUAACUACGUG